Molecule: ribosomal RNA, 1499 nt
Filed under: Escherichia coli
Lineage: Bacteria; Pseudomonadati; Pseudomonadota; Gammaproteobacteria; Enterobacterales; Enterobacteriaceae
Description: partial 23S ribosomal RNA
Rfam family: Bacterial large subunit ribosomal RNA
Source: RNAcentral
GUUAAUCGGGGCAGGGUGAGUCGACCCCUAAGGCGAGGCCGAAAGGCGUAGUCGAUGGGAAACAGGUUAAUAUUCCUGUACUUGGUGUUACUGCGAAGGGGGGACGGAGAAGGCUAUGUUGGCCGGGCGACGGUUGUCCCGGUUUAAGCGUGUAGGCUGGUUUUCCAGGCAAAUCCGGAAAACUAAGGCUGAGGCGUGAUGACGAGGCACUACGGUGCUGAAGCAACAAAUGCCCUGCUUCCAGGAAAAGCCUCUAAGCAUCAGGUAACAUCAAAUCGUACCCCAAACCGACACAGGUGGUCAGGUAGAGAAUACCAAGGCGCUUGAGAGAACUCGGGUGAAGGAACUAGGCAAAAUGGUGCCGUAACUUCGGGAGAAGGCACGCUGAUAUGUAGGUGAAGUCCCUCGCGGAUGGAGCUGAAAUCAGUCGAAGAUACCAGCUGGCUGCAACUGUUUAUUAAAAACACAGCACUGUGCAAACACGAAAGUGGACGUAUACGGUGUGACGCCUGCCCGGUGCCGGAAGGUUAAUUGAUGGGGUCAGCGCAAGCGAAGCUCUUGAUCGAAGCCCCGGUAAACGGCGGCCGUAACUAUAACGGUCCUAAGGUAGCGAAAUUCCUUGUCGGGUAAGUUCCGACCUGCACGAAUGGCGUAAUGAUGGCCAGGCUGUCUCCACCCGAGACUCAGUGAAAUUGAACUCGCUGUGAAGAUGCAGUGUACCCGCGGCAAGACGGAAAGACCCCGUGAACCUUUACUAUAGCUUGACACUGAACAUUGAGCCUUGAUGUGUAGGAUAGGUGGGAGGCUUUGAAGUGUGGACGCCAGUCUGCAUGGAGCCGACCUUGAAAUACCACCCUUUAAUGUUUGAUGUUCUAACGUUGACCCGUAAUCCGGGUUGCGGACAGUGUCUGGUGGGUAGUUUGACUGGGGCGGUCUCCUCCUAAAGAGUAACGGAGGAGCACGAAGGUUGGCUAAUCCUGGUCGGACAUCAGGAGGUUAGUGCAAUGGCAUAAGCCAGCUUGACUGCGAGCGUGACGGCGCGAGCAGGUGCGAAAGCAGGUCAUAGUGAUCCGGUGGUUCUGAAUGGAAGGGCCAUCGCUCAACGGAUAAAAGGUACUCCGGGGAUAACAGGCUGAUACCGCCCAAGAGUUCAUAUCGACGGCGGUGUUUGGCACCUCGAUGUCGGCUCAUCACAUCCUGGGGCUGAAGUAGGUCCCAAGGGUAUGGCUGUUCGCCAUUUAAAGUGGUACGCGAGCUGGGUUUAGAACGUCGUGAGACAGUUCGGUCCCUAUCUGCCGUGGGCGCUGGAGAACUGAGGGGGGCUGCUCCUAGUACGAGAGGACCGGAGUGGACGCAUCACUGGUGUUCGGGUUGUCAUGCCAAUGGCACUGCCCGGUAGCUAAAUGCGGAAGAGAUAAGUGCUGAAAGCAUCUAAGCACGAAACUUGCCCCGAGAUGAGUUCUCCCUGACUCCUUGAGAGUCCUGAAGGAACGUUGAAG